This 253-nucleotide ribosomal RNA is filed under the name uncultured bacterium. RNAcentral describes it as "partial 16S ribosomal RNA". It matches the Rfam family "Bacterial small subunit ribosomal RNA", at positions 524 to 776 of the family's 1533-position model. The record is from RNAcentral.
UACGGGGGGGGCAAGCGUUGUUCGGAAUUACUGGGCGUAAAGGGCUCGUAGGCGGCCAACUAAGUCGGACGUGAAAUCCCUCAGCUUAACUGGGGAACUGCGUCCGAUACUGGAUGGCUUGAGUUCGGGAGAGGGAUGCGGAAUUCCGCGUGUAGCAGUGAAAUGCGUAGAUAUGCGGAGGAACACCGAUGGCGAAGGCAAUCCCCUGGGCCUGCACUGACGCUCAUGCACGAAAGCGUGGGGAGCAAACAGG